RNAcentral lists this ribosomal RNA (462 nucleotides) under uncultured bacterium. RNAcentral describes it as "bacterial SSU rRNA". It matches the Rfam family "Bacterial small subunit ribosomal RNA", at positions 31 to 507 of the family's 1533-position model. The record is from RNAcentral.
GAACGCUGGCGGCGUGCCUAACACAUGCAAGUCGAACGGAGUUGAUCCUUCGGGGGUCAACUUAGUGGCGAACGGGUGAGUAACGCGUGAGAAACCUUGCCUUUCAGUGGGGGGACAACAGUUGGAAACGACUGCUAAUACCGCAUAAUGUCAUUUGGGGGCAUCCCUGGAUGACCAAAGAUUUAUUGCUGAAAGAUGGUCUCGCGUCUGAUUAGCUAGAUGCGGGGUAACGGCCCACCAUGGCGACGAUCAGUAGCCGGUCUGAGAGGAUGAACGGCCACAUUGGGACUGAGAUACGGCCCAGACUCCUACGGGAGGCAGCAGUGGGGAAUAUUGGGCAAUGGGGGAAACCCUGACCCAGCAACGCCGCGUGAAGGAAGAAGGCCUUCGGGUUGUAAACUUCUUUUACCAGGGACGAACACAAUGACGGUACCUGGAGAAAAAGCAACGGCUAACUACGUG